RNAcentral lists this ribosomal RNA (253 nucleotides) under uncultured bacterium. RNAcentral describes it as "partial 16S ribosomal RNA". It matches the Rfam family "Bacterial small subunit ribosomal RNA", at positions 524 to 776 of the family's 1533-position model. The record is from RNAcentral.
GACAGAGGCCUCGAGCGUUAGGCGGAAUCACUGGGCUUAAAGCGUGUGUAGGCGGGCCCGUAAGUGUCUUGUGAAAUCCCACGGCUCAACCGUGGAGCUGCUGGGCAUACUGCGGGUCUUGGGCCAACUAGGGGCAGCCGGAACAAGCGGUGGAGCGGUGAAAUGCGUAGAUAUCGAGAGGAACACCAGAGGUGAAGACGGGUUGCUGGGCUGACACUGACGCUGAGGCGCGAAAGCCAGGGGAGCAAACGGG